RNAcentral lists this long non-coding RNA (436 nucleotides) under Homo sapiens (human). Its description in RNAcentral is "HSALNT0360108". Lineage: Eukaryota; Metazoa; Chordata; Mammalia; Primates; Hominidae. The record is from RNAcentral.
GUGGUGCCUUCAAGGCCCAUUUCUUCUUGGGCUGUCAGUUGCUAAGUGCAAACUCCAAGCAGCAUCUUGAAAUUCAUGCAAAUUCAUGAAUAAAUACAAUUUGCUCAUUGGAAGCAUGCCUUCGCCUUUCCCACAAGGCCACCAUCCCCGCGGGCUGUGCUGUGGUCACUCCCCCAGCAUGGGGUGGCCUGCAGCAGGCCCACAGACCCAGAGAACACAGUCCCUUCUCGCACGGCCUGGUCUUCAGCUUCCCUUUUCAGAAUGGAAUGCACACGAAUACACGUCAAGUCCUUCCACGGUGUUUACCCUCAGCCCUGAGAACUCUUCAGAAGAUGAGACCCGGUUAAAUGUUCCCAAUUCUAUCAUCUUUACAAAGCCUUUGGAGUUUUGCUGGAGGACGAGCAGGAGCCAGGAUUACUUAUGAGUAUUAAUAAAA